This 69-nucleotide transfer RNA is filed under the name Anolis ricordii (Haitian green anole). RNAcentral describes it as "tRNA-Trp". RNAcentral also lists the same sequence under 2 other names. Lineage: Eukaryota; Metazoa; Chordata; Lepidosauria; Squamata; Anolidae. The record is from RNAcentral.
AAAAACUUAGGAUAACUAAACCAAGAGCCUUCAAAGCUCAAAAUAGGAAUGAAAACCUCCUAGUUUUUG